Molecule: ribosomal RNA, 253 nt
Filed under: uncultured bacterium
Lineage: Bacteria
Description: partial 16S ribosomal RNA
Rfam family: Bacterial small subunit ribosomal RNA
Source: RNAcentral
UACGAAGGGGGCGAGCGUUGUUCGGAUUUACUGGGCGUAAAGGGCGCGCAGGCGGCUUAUUUUGUCAGGCGUGAAAGCCCCGGGCUUAACCUGGGAAUGGCAUUUGGGACUGCAAGGCUGGAGUGUGGCAGAGGAGACUGGAAUUCCUGGUGUAGCAGUGAAAUGCGUAGAUAUCAGGAGGAAUACCGAUGGCGAAGGCAGGUCUCUGGGCUGACACUGACGCUCAUGCACGAAAGCGUGGGGAGCAAACAGG